Molecule: small nuclear RNA, 207 nt
Filed under: Heterocephalus glaber (naked mole-rat)
Lineage: Eukaryota; Metazoa; Chordata; Mammalia; Rodentia; Bathyergidae
Description: U2 spliceosomal RNA (ENSHGLG00000040643.1)
Rfam family: U2 spliceosomal RNA
About the family: U2 is a small nuclear RNA (snRNA) component of the spliceosome (involved in pre-mRNA splicing).
Source: RNAcentral
AUUGCUUCUCGGCCUUUUGGCUAAGAUCAAGUGUAAAUCACUGGGCCUUCACUGACCAUCCAUCUGAAGAAUCACCUUCCCUUCGUCUUCAGCAGUUUACUUUGUUUUUUUUUUUUGGUGUCGGGAUCGAACUCUGGUCCUUGUGCUUGCACAGCUGGCAGCGGGAGACCACUGAGCUAAAUCCCCGGCCCAGGUGGGCCAGUUUAC